Long non-coding RNA from Carassius carassius (crucian carp), 710 nucleotides. RefSeq lists it as uncharacterized. The record is from RefSeq and is a predicted model, not a curated record. The transcript has 3 exons. Lineage: Eukaryota; Metazoa; Chordata; Actinopteri; Cypriniformes; Cyprinidae.
AGAUAAUCGAGCUCAUGGCCAAAGUAAACACACUCAGUUCAGAUGUGCAGAGAAGCAACAGUGACAUCUUUUCCGUGAAGCCCAUGGAGUCCCACGGGAGAGACUGUAGUGACAUCCAAGAGACACUAGGUGUCGUGUCUCCAAAAAUCCCUAGUGGAAUUUAUAUAAUUCAGCCAGAAAACUUUCCUUUGAGGAAAGUACCUUCUUUUAGUUUUGUUUAAACAUUUCCAACCAGUUAUUUUAAUCUAAAAGCCAAUCAAACAUUCAGCAUCUUAAACUGGCCAUCUAACAGGUGUUCUGUGAGAUGGAUUACAUGAAGGGUGGAUGGACAGUAAAACAGAGACGGACGGUCUCACUGACUUCAAACGAAUGUGGUCACAGUACUUGGAUGGAUUUGGACACUUACCGGGUGAACACUGGUUGGUUUUGAGAAAAAUCUUCAAUAUUGUGAAUCAGAGAAACACACGUUUCGAGCUGCAUGUGUCUCUGGUCUCACAAGAUGACACCACCACCUAUGCUUCAUAUGACAAUUUCUGGCUUGAAGAUGAAACCAAAAUCUUUGCAAUACACCUUGGCAGAUAUGCUGGUUGUGCAGGUCAGCCAAUAGCAAAUAUCAUUCCCAUAACACCACUUAUUCCUUCAAAAUUAGUAUGGAAAAUGCAAAUAAUGUCCACAUAUUCCAUUUGGGCCUGCUGAUGAUUAAAGGGAUA